GACGUAGGGCGCGAGCGUUGUCCGGAUUUUUUAUUUGGGCGUAAAGAGCUCGUAGGCGGCUUUGUCGCGUCGUCCGUGAAAACUUUGGGGCUCAACCCCAAGCUUGCGGUCGAUACGGGCAGGCUAGAGUUCGGUAGGGGAGACUGGAAUUCCUGGUGUAGCGGUGAAAUGCGCAGAUAUCAGGAGGAACACCGGUGGCGAAGGCGGGUCUCUGGGCAAUAACUGACGCUGAGGAGCGAAAGCGUGGGGAGCGAACAGG
Molecule: ribosomal RNA, 259 nt
Filed under: uncultured bacterium
Lineage: Bacteria
Description: partial 16S ribosomal RNA
Rfam family: Bacterial small subunit ribosomal RNA
Source: RNAcentral